RNAcentral lists this unclassified non-coding RNA (874 nucleotides) under Hevea brasiliensis (rubber tree). The record is from RNAcentral. Lineage: Eukaryota; Viridiplantae; Streptophyta; Magnoliopsida; Malpighiales; Euphorbiaceae.
AUAUCCUGGUAUUGGGACAUCAUAGGCAACAGCAGUUAUAUCUUCUCCGCCAACCCAUUCCUUUGACCCAUCAGCUCCUUCAAUGACCUUCCCAUAGAAUUUUACGGGAUACGAAAUAUCAUUCCUGACAAUUUCCCAUGGAUUUCCCAUCUCGAGCCAGUUUUCAGCAACUUCCUCCUGGCCAUCUUUUGUAAUAAGCUGUUUGAAAAGGCCAUAUUGGUAUCUAAGUCCAUAACCCCAUGCAGGGUAGUUUAGCGUCGCCAUUGAGUCAAGAAAGCAAGAAGCAAGUCUUCCUAAGCCUCCAUUCCCUAAAGCUGCAUCUGGUUCCUGCCUGGCUACAUCCUCUAAACUGUAUCCGAGCUUAGUUAAAGCAUCUGCAUAAGGUCCGUUUAGCCCCAAGUUACCAAUAGCAUUGAGUAAAGCUCUUCCCUGAAGAAACUCCAUAGACAAGUAAUAUGCCUGCUUUACAUUCAUCUUUUCGUAGUAUUCAUAUGUGGCAUUCCAACUUAAAAUGAGCAUAUCUCGAACACUCUCUGCAGUUGCAUAGUACGCCUUGGGAAGUUCAAACUUCUCAGGAGAAAAUGAUGGCGUGAACUCUGCGUGAUACUUUAUACUUGAUAAAACAGACGUUGAGUCCGGCUGAUAAACAUCUAAUGUAAAUCCUUCAUCAGAGGAAGAAUCUUUUGUCUUCUGCUUUUGAUCACUAGCAACAUUGCUAACAUAGAAACUUCUUCUUCUUCUUCUUAAAUUGAACAAUAAACUCCUCUUUCUACUCAAAAAAAUAUUUGAGUUUUUGCUUCUGAAAUUGUUAUUAAAACUUGAAAUUGAGUUCAAUCCAGAGACAGCAAAAGUUGCCAUGAUGUCUCUGAACUGA